CACGGACCAAGGAGUCUAACAUGUGCGCGAGUCGUUGGGCGUUACGAAACCCGAAGGCGCAAUGAAAGUGAAGGCCCGGUCUCCGGCCGGCCUGGGUGGGAUCCGGACGGUCGCGGCCGUCCGGCGCACCACCGGCCCGUCUCGUUCGCCUCGUCGAUGAGGCGGACCAAGAGCGUACACGUUGGGACCCGAAAGAUGGUGAACUAUGCCUGAGUAGGACGAAGCCAGAGGAAACUCUGGUGGAGGUCCGCAGCGAUUCUGACGUGCAAAUCGAUCGUCAAACUUGGGUAUAGGGGCGAAAGACUAAUCGAACCAUCUAGUAGCUGGUUCCUGUCGAAGUUUCCCUCAGGAUAGCUGGCGCUCGUCGUGAGCAGUUUUAUCCGGUAAAGCGAAUGACUGGAGGCCUUGGGGACGAAACGUCCUCAACCUACUCUCAAACUUUAAAUGGGUAAGACGUCCGACUCGCUCGAUUGGAGCCGGGCAACGAAUGCGAGUGCCAAGUGGGCCACUUUUG
This 514-nucleotide ribosomal RNA is filed under the name Postandrilus sp. MPL-2011. Its description in RNAcentral is "eukaryotic LSU rRNA". It matches the Rfam family "Eukaryotic large subunit ribosomal RNA", at positions 660 to 1139 of the family's 3401-position model. Lineage: Eukaryota; Metazoa; Annelida; Clitellata; Crassiclitellata; Lumbricidae. The record is from RNAcentral.